AGGAUAGUAGUUAACUAUAACAUUUGGUUUGCAUUCAAAAAGUAUUGAAAUACUUCAAUCUAUCUUA
This 67-nucleotide transfer RNA is filed under the name Parcoblatta divisa. RNAcentral describes it as "tRNA-Ala". The record is from RNAcentral. Lineage: Eukaryota; Metazoa; Arthropoda; Insecta; Blattodea; Blattellidae.